GACGAACGCUGGCGGCGUGCCUAAUACAUGCAAGUAGGCCGCAGUUGCGAACGGGUGAGUAACGCGUAGGUAACUGCCUAUUAGAGGGGGAUAACUAUUGGAAACGUUAGCUAAUACCGCAUACUAGUAAAUGGUACUGCGUUGUAUUAGCUAGUAGGUAGGGUAAUGGCCUACCUAGGCAACGAUAGAUAGCCGACCUGAGAGGGUGAACGGCCACACGGUGGCUGGGACACGGCCCAGACUCCUACGGGAGGCAGCAGGAGGGAAUCUUCGGCAAUGGUGGGAACCCUGACCGAGCAACGCCGCGUGAGUGAAGAAGGUUUUCGGAUCGUAAAGCUCUGUUGUUAAGGAAGCGGUACUUAACCAGAAAGGGACGGCUAACUACGUGCCAGCAGCCGCGGUAAUAC
RNAcentral lists this ribosomal RNA (407 nucleotides) under uncultured bacterium. RNAcentral describes it as "partial 16S ribosomal RNA". It matches the Rfam family "Bacterial small subunit ribosomal RNA", at positions 28 to 526 of the family's 1533-position model. The record is from RNAcentral.